RNAcentral lists this long non-coding RNA (1408 nucleotides) under Anser cygnoides (Swan goose). Its description in RNAcentral is "lncRNA (ENSACDG00005012305.1)". Lineage: Eukaryota; Metazoa; Chordata; Aves; Anseriformes; Anatidae. The record is from RNAcentral.
AGAAGAAACUGUUUAGACUUCAGUUUUAUAAAUCCCGGUCAUGACAUUAUUCAUUCUUCCCUAGGAAGAAAGGUCCUGAAUGCAGUGUACCGAGGUUUGAUCAAACAAGUGACGACUGGAUUAGGAGCGGAUUUACAAGGAAGUUUUCAGCCUUACAGUGAAGUGGCAUGGAGGACGGCCUUAUCUGAAAAGUGUGCCCAAAGGAGGCCUGGUGCACCACAUCUUCGGAGAGGGCAGAGAUGCCAGGCCCCGCCAGGAACCCGAGGAGGAAUCGUGCCCCUUCACUUAGAGCAAGCAAGGGGGUUGCCCCCCUCCUUACAGCACUCGGAUGAGAAAGAGAGGAAUCCAUUUCCAGGAAAGGAUGCAGUUCGCAGUUCACGGUUAUUGGAUGAAAGAAAAAUUGUUUGAGGAAGCCGGAACUAGAGCCCAUAUGUGCCCACUUUCAGGGCUGAGGACCCCUAACACUACAGCCUCUGGAUCAAGGUUGUAUUUUUUGCUUUCUUUCUGGCCCCAUGACUCUUAAAUUCUUAGAUACUCAGCACAAAAUGAAAGCGAGACAUAGCUGCUCAGGAAUUUGAAUGCUCUGAGCAGAGAUACUUUGGCUGCAUGAGGCUCCUGAAAAAGUGUGUGUCUGCGUGUGCGCACACAUGUUCCUCUGUGUGUGUGCACUUGUGUGUGUGUGCACAUGUGUGUGUGCACAUGUGAGAUAUGGCUCAGGGAGAGGAGGAGUGAGACCACACUGAAAGAGAGAGAAAAAGCAGCUUCGGCAGCCUGAGCAGCUCUGCUCUGUAGGCUUGUGGGAAGCUGGAGGGGUGGCUCUUGGACUAAGGUUCUGGCAGAAAGUCUUGAAGGGGUAAGUGAAGAAGCUGUCAGGUUGUUUGAUUAUUUUCUGUAGUCAAAGAAGCAGGAUUUGUACAUUCCUGUAAGUCAAGUUGCGUAAAAGAUCUGUGAUUGAAUCCAUUGCUGUUUUCUUCCCAAUUGGCAGUCCUAGGAGGUCUAGGUUCAGGACUUCUGAACAGCUGCUUAGAUCAAAGCAUGUUGCUAACAGCAGUAGCUUGUUUUCCUGCCCACUCGUAGGGAAUGUGCAGAUAUUUUAAAGACUUUUUAUAUUUUCACCUUUAAGUGCUGUGCUUACUACUUACUCCUUACCUUAUUACUCCUUUCCCUAUUUCAUGGUAUUCAAAGAUGCUGUUACUUUAUAAAACCAGUUUAUAGUUUUCCAUUUUGAUCCCAUCAUUUUGAAGUAAGUCUGAUAACUCUUGAGCACUCCCUCUCUCCCAGGAAGAACGUAGGCUGCCUUCCCACGUUGGCUGUGCUGCUGUAAAGUUUAAUCAAUUGGCUACCAACUGACAUCAAUUGGCUCUAAGUUUGAAGUGAAUCCUGCAACUCAGAUCCAUUGAGCUACUCC